Small nucleolar RNA from Panicum hallii, 107 nucleotides. NCBI's taxonomy places the organism in Eukaryota, Viridiplantae, Streptophyta, Magnoliopsida, Poales, Poaceae. The record is from RefSeq and is a predicted model, not a curated record.
AUGCCGUGGUGUGGGUACGCAGUAAUGUACUCUUGGAAGCAUUCCCAAGCCUCCACGAUGGACUCAUCAUUGUUCUGCUAGAAGCUGGAAAUCUUGUUUCGGAGGGC